GACGAACGCUGGCGGCGUGCUUAACACAUGCAAGUCGAACGGAAAGGCCCUGCUUUUUUGGGGUGCUCGAGUGGCGAACGGGUGAGUAACACGUGAGUAACCUGCCCUUGACUUUGGGAUAACUUCAGGAAACUGGGGCUAAUACCGGCUAGGAGCUCCUGCUGCAUGGUGGGGGUUGGACAGUUUCGGCGGUUGGGGAUGGACUCGCGGCUUAUCAGCUUGUUGGUGGGGUAGUGGCUUACCAAGGCUUUGACGGGUAGCCGGCCUGAGAGGGUGACCGGCCACAUUGGGACUGAGGUACGGCCCAGACUCCUACGGGAGGCAGCAGUGGGGAAUAUUGCACAAUGGGCGGAAGCCUGAUGCAGCAACGCCGCGUGCGGGAUGACGGCCUUCGGGUUGUAAACCGCUUUCGCCUGUGACGAAGCGUGAGUGACGGUAAUGGGUAAAGAAGCACCGGCUAACUACGUG
This 468-nucleotide ribosomal RNA is filed under the name uncultured bacterium. RNAcentral describes it as "partial 16S ribosomal RNA". It matches the Rfam family "Bacterial small subunit ribosomal RNA", at positions 28 to 507 of the family's 1533-position model. The record is from RNAcentral.